GUGAAUCAUCGAAUCUUUGAACGCAUAUUGCACCCUCUGGUAUUCCGGAGGGUACACCUGUUUGAGCGCCAUUUCGAACCUCAAAGCAUAGCUUUGGUGUUGGGUAAAAAGUCUUUUUAAAUGAGGGACUUACCCUUAACUCGUAGGAGGUCAUUACCCAACUUCUCCCAGCGUAGCAGGCUUUACGCAAUCGCUCGGGGAUAGGAGGUUUUUGAUCACCCCCAAAUUAUUUUCAGUUUUGGCCUCAAAUCAGGUGGGGAUACCCGCUGAACUUAAGCAUAUCAAUAAGCGGAGGA
RNAcentral lists this unclassified non-coding RNA (296 nucleotides) under Ascomycota sp. Its description in RNAcentral is "partial contains 5.8S ribosomal RNA, internal transcribed spacer 2, and large subunit ribosomal RNA". The stretch from base 1 to 71 matches the Rfam family "5.8S ribosomal RNA", at positions 84 to 154 of the family's 154-position model. The record is from RNAcentral. Lineage: Eukaryota; Fungi; Ascomycota.